Triticum urartu is the source of this 780-nucleotide non-coding RNA. The record is from RefSeq and is a predicted model, not a curated record. Lineage: Eukaryota; Viridiplantae; Streptophyta; Magnoliopsida; Poales; Poaceae.
UUUGUUUCUGAAUGCCACUGUCCGCACGAGACGCAGCAGCGCGGGAGGCGAGCCAGGAGCCAAGGCGCCGCUCCGUCUCUCAGGGGAUCGCCGGCGACCGCCCGCCCCGACCUGCACCUGGGCAGCGCAGCACUGCGCCCGGCCUUCUUCUGCCCAUGGCGCAGAAGAUCGCAAGGAGCGACUGAUGCUAAACCAGCUGGAUUCGAGCCGCACCUGCAUUCGCCCCUCGAGCAGCUGCUUCCGAGCGGGGCGACCCACGCCACGCUCGAGGAAUCCUCUCCAGCCAAAAUGGCGCCAGGCUCUGAUGCUCCAUGGUAACCACGCUACUCACGACGGCGGCCUGCUCAUCUCACUUGCCCGCUCCUGCAUUCGGGGUCGGGCGCCCUGCGGGUGUUCGGUGAAAUGCCCCACCAGGGAGAUUGCGCCGCUGGCGUCCGAUACCCCCCCUGGAUUCAAGCAACUCCGACGCCCUCCCCUGCAUAUUCAAAGCCUGACGGAGUACCAGUAUUUUACCCCCACUGUUGUAAUUUUUUACAGCAACUCUGACAGAGUGCUUAGUACUGUAGUACUGUAGUACAUACUACUGCUCUACCCGAUGUGAGCGGAGUCAGAUCGUCGUGAAAGGGACGAAGCAUGCAUCAAGCCAACGGGCAAGUCUUCCUCCGGUCAAAUAACCUAGGAAAGAAAUUAGUACUAGUAUACUAGUUUUUCUUGAAAACAUCAUGAGGUCAGUUGAAUGCAGGUUGUUUAUCUAGGAAGGAAAAACACCAGUAUUUGCAA